GGAGAAUCCCGUGAACCAUCAAGUUUCUGAACGCAAGUUGCGCCUGAAGCCAUUAAGCCGAUAGUGAGCUGCCUGGGCGUCACACGCCGUUGCCCCCCCCGGCACCUCCCUUGGAAGCGUCGGUGAGCGGACGAUGGCUUUCAGUAUGUCACCACACGUGGUUGGCACAAAUGUUUAGUCCCCGGCGACGAAGCCAUGACAAUCGUUGGUUGUCAAUCCUUGGUUGCUUGUUGUGCACUUUAAAUGUUUAGUCCCCGGCGACGAAGCCAUGACAAUCGUUGGUUGUCAAACCUUGGUUGCUUGUUGUGCACUUUCACCGAGCUCUGGGCGGCUCACGAUGCUCCCUGCUUUACUUCGGCGGAGCCUUCAACGCGACCCCAGGUCAGGCAGGGUUACCCACUAAAUUUAA
This 409-nucleotide ribosomal RNA is filed under the name Crataegus sheridana. RNAcentral describes it as "eukaryotic LSU rRNA". Lineage: Eukaryota; Viridiplantae; Streptophyta; Magnoliopsida; Rosales; Rosaceae. The record is from RNAcentral.